GGUAGUGGUUAAAUUGAUUAUCUUGUAAUGUAUUUCAAAUGGUGACGAAGAGAUUGGGAAAGCUUACUGACCAUCCGACUCUGUAGCUUGUAUCAUGUGAGUGAAAAAACUUAUUUUUCAAAAAUAAGUAUUUAUUGAAUUUAUAUUAAAUCAAAAAAUUAAAUAUUUUAUAUAGCUAGUUUGACAAUAUAAUUUUUCAGAAUAAAGUGCUUUCAAUUCUUUUUAAAGUUAAAUUUUGCUCAGUUAAAUCAUUUCAUUAGAUGUUAUAGUUGUAUUAAAUAUUUUAGCGUAUCUAAAGUUGUUUUCAAAACUACCAUAAAGUACCCAUGUAAUUUUACUCGGUCUGCAUUGGUGUGAUUGUGUUUUCACAAUGUGUGACCCCAUAUGAUUAUUUUAUUCACUCUAUAUUGUAGUGAGUUUCCACAAUAUAUAAUCAGUUAUGGUUAUUUUACUCGCUCUGCACCAUUGUGAUUAUAUUUUCAUAGUGUAUGACUAGAUUAUUGCUUUUGAGCAACUCUGCACGCGUAUGACCAGAAUUUCAAAUUUUAGAAUUGAAUAACUUUAUCAUGUACAUUGAGAUUAAUCAAUGCAUGAUUAUGGUUAUUCUGAGUACCUUUUUAGUGUGAUUUUCAGUAAUAUAUACAACUCAUUAGAUUUUAAAUUAUAGAAAUUAGUUUAUUCAAUUUAAAUAAUAAAGAUUUUAGCUUAUAAUACUGUAAAAUGAUAUUUUUAUUAUAUAUUAGUUUUCAGAAUGUUGGCAUAAAUAGAAAAAAAAUAUAUUUAUUUGUUAGAUAUCCACUCCCUGAGUUAUAAGUUCAUAUAUUUUGACAACAUUUUUCUUAUCAAAUAGUAGUUGAGUUGAGCAGCAUUGUAUCCCAUUGAUCUAUCAAGUGGAGCCACAUAUUGUCAGUUGUUGUAUGUCUCAUCUUGUCAAUUUUUACAAUACAUAUUUUUGGAAUACGUGCAUUUUUGUUAAAAAAUAAAAAAUAAUAAAAAUGUAUCCAUAUCAUAUGCUCAUUACAUAAUUGAUAUCUUUUCAAUAUGUUGGACAUUUAGAGUCUUUUGGCUUGUUAAGAAGUGUAAAUUCAUUCCUGUGCAAUUUAUUUUGAAUAGUUUGUAUUUGAAGGAUUGGUGUACUUUAUUUCAAAUUAUAUGUACAAAUUUGAGAAAACUGAUUGUUGUUCAGGUAGUUUUAGUCUAUAUUUCAGAAGAAACUCAAUCAAUUUUUUUUUUUUUAAAUUCAUCACAGUCAAAGCAAAUCAAUGUCGCCUUGGUGUUGGGUCUAGAAUUUAGCUAAUAUCUACCAUCGACUCACGAUAUGUGUCGAAUUUAUUAGAGUGAUUCGAGAUGGAUCAUGUCACUUUCUACUUUUAUAAUGCAACCACUGUUCAACGAAACUCAAGGAGGUCAUUUCCUGCAUGCAUAUUUUCAUAUAUAGAGUGACCUUAUCAUGUAAGUAUAAAAAGAGGCCUGCUACUGAUCCAGGCUCAGGGACAAAUCAAAAACAGGGGGCUGAGAUUCAGAUCCCUGUUUUUCAUCUGUCCAUGGGCAUGGAUGACCAGCAUUAGUGGUAUGAAAAUGCUACCUAUUUUUGGCACCUCAGCCCCCUGUUUUUUAUCUGUCCAUGGGCCUAGAUGACUAGCAUUAGUGGUAUGAAAAUUGCUACCUAUUUUUUUAGCGGUCUACAAGACAAGCCUGGAGCAACUCGUUAAAGCAUCA
This 1719-nucleotide long non-coding RNA is filed under the name Olea europaea subsp. europaea. Lineage: Eukaryota; Viridiplantae; Streptophyta; Magnoliopsida; Lamiales; Oleaceae. The record is from RNAcentral.